AGUGAACGCUGGCGGUAUGCCUAACACAUGCAAGUCGAACGGCAACACAGUAAGAGCUUGCUCUUACGGGUGGCGAGUGGCGGACGGGUGAGGAAUACAUCGGAAUCUACUUUUUCGUGGGUGAUAACGUAGGGAAACUUACGCUAAUACCGCAUACGACCUACGGGCGAAAGCAGGCGUUCUUCGAACCUUUCGCGAUUGAAUGAGCCGAUGUCGGAUUAGCUAGUUGGCUGGGUAAAGGCCCACCAAGGCGACGAUCCGUAGCUGGUCUGAGAGGAUGAUCGGCCACACUGGAACUGAGACACGGUCCAGACUCCUACGGGAGGCAGCAGUGGGGAAUAUUGGGCAAUGGGCGAAAGCCUGAUCCAGCAAUACCGCGUGAGUGAAGAAGGCCUUCGGGUUGUAAAGCCCUUUUGUUGGGAAAGAAAAGCAGCAGGUUAAUACGCCGCUGUUCUGACGGUACCCAAAGAAUAAGCACCGGCUAACUUCGUG
Molecule: ribosomal RNA, 492 nt
Filed under: uncultured bacterium
Lineage: Bacteria
Description: partial 16S ribosomal RNA
Rfam family: Bacterial small subunit ribosomal RNA
Source: RNAcentral